AGUGAACGCUGGCGGUAGGCCUAACACAUGCAAGUCGAACGGCAGCACAGUAAGAGCUUGCUCUUACGGGUGGCGAGUGGCGGACGGGUGAGGAAUACAUCGGAAUCUACUUUUUCGUGGGGGAUACCGUAGGGAAACUUACGCUAAUACCGCAUACGACCUACGGGUGAAAGCAGGGGAUCUUCGGACCUUGCGCGAUUGAAUGAGCCGAUGUCGGAUUAGCUAGUUGGCGGGGUAAAGGCCCACCAAGGCGACGAUCCGUAGCUGGUCUGAGAGGAUGAUCAGCCACACUGGAACUGAGACACGGUCCAUACGCCUACGGGAGGCAGCAGUGGGGAAUAUUGGACAAUGGGCGCAAGCCUGAUCCAGCCAUACCGCGUGGGUGAAGAAGGCCUUCGGGUUGUAAAGCCCUUUUGUUGGGAAAGAAAAGCAGCAGGUUAAUACCCCGCUGUUCUGACGGUACCCAAAGAAUAAGCACCGGCUAACUUCGUG
This 492-nucleotide ribosomal RNA is filed under the name uncultured bacterium. RNAcentral's name for it is "partial 16S ribosomal RNA". It matches the Rfam family "Bacterial small subunit ribosomal RNA", at positions 29 to 507 of the family's 1533-position model. The record is from RNAcentral.